CCUACGGGGGGCUGCAGUGGGGAAUAUUGGACAAUGGGGGGAACCCUGAUCCAGCCAUGCCGCGUGUGUGAAGAAGGCCCUCGGGUUGUAAAGCACUUUCAGUGAGGAAGAACGCCUGGUGGUUAAUACCCAUCAGGAAAGACAUCACUCACAGAAGAAGCACCGGCUAACUCCGUGCCAGCAGCCGCGGUAAUACGGAGGGUGCGAGCGUUAAUCGGAAUUACUGGGCGUAAAGCGCGCGUAGGUGGCUUGAUAAGCCGGUUGUGAAAGCCCCGGGCUCAACCUGGGAACGGCAUCCGGAACUGUCAAGCUAGAGUGCAGGAGAGGAAGGUAGAAUUCCCGGUGUAGCGGUGAAAUGCGUAGAGAUCGGGAGGAAUACCAGUGGCGAAGGCGGCCUUCUGGACUGACACUGACACUGAGGUGCGAAAGCGUGGGUAGCAAACAGGAUUAUAUACCCGAGUAGUC
This 465-nucleotide ribosomal RNA is filed under the name Vreelandella stevensii. Its description in RNAcentral is "partial 16S ribosomal RNA". It matches the Rfam family "Bacterial small subunit ribosomal RNA", at positions 338 to 795 of the family's 1533-position model. The record is from RNAcentral. Lineage: Bacteria; Pseudomonadati; Pseudomonadota; Gammaproteobacteria; Oceanospirillales; Halomonadaceae.